CUACCUCUUGACAUGUAGUAUGAACAUAAAGCACAGUUGAUUCCUGAGCUGUGAUGACUUUCCACUGACCAUACUACUGCAAUGAUGUUAUUCUGGGCCAAACUUCGGAAUCAAUUCUUGUCUGCUGCCUGAUUCAAUUAUUUUUAAUGCACCCUGUGGAUUUUUACUUGCUAAAGUAGAAAGAAGAUCCCAACAUUUGAUGAGAAAAUAUACAGAAGGCAUAGGUCACAUGUCUGACUCACAGCUGCGAUGUGGUGGAUCCAAAUCUCUCUGAGGCCAAAUACUGCCCAGCUCGAAUGAACGCUAUGCUCCAUGCCUGAAACAACUGCUCCAGCCCUCAGAAAAGAGUCUCCCAUUCAACUGAAGUCUGCAUAUCAGAUUCCCGUGGGAUAAUUCAUAAAGGCUCCUUGAAGUUAAUUCUGGGUAUAUCCUGAAAUAGAGGGUCUCCUCUGUUUUUUCUUCUUUUUUUCCACAACUGAGGAGACACUAGUGCCUACUUAUCUCAAUAAUGGGAUUUCUCUUUGAUGCAA
Molecule: long non-coding RNA, 530 nt
Filed under: Homo sapiens (human)
Lineage: Eukaryota; Metazoa; Chordata; Mammalia; Primates; Hominidae
Description: non-protein coding lnc-LRRC4C-5:3
Source: RNAcentral